RNAcentral lists this ribosomal RNA (237 nucleotides) under uncultured bacterium. Its description in RNAcentral is "partial 16S ribosomal RNA". It matches the Rfam family "Bacterial small subunit ribosomal RNA", at positions 99 to 334 of the family's 1533-position model. The record is from RNAcentral.
CGAACGGGUGAGUAACGCGUGAGGAACCUGCCUCAAAGAGGGGGACAACAGUUGGAAACGGCUGCUAAUACCGCAUAAGCCCACGGCUCGGCAUCGAGCAGAGGGAAAAGGAGCAAUCCGCUUUGAGAUGGCCUCGCGUCCGAUUAGCUAGUUGGUGAGGUAAUGGCCCACCAAGGCAACGAUCGGUAGCCGGACUGAGAGGUUGAACGGCCACAUUGGGACUGAGACACGGCCCAA